This 1222-nucleotide long non-coding RNA is filed under the name Pogona vitticeps (central bearded dragon). RNAcentral's name for it is "lncRNA (ENSPVIG00000025160.1)". Lineage: Eukaryota; Metazoa; Chordata; Lepidosauria; Squamata; Agamidae. The record is from RNAcentral.
UAAUGAUUGAAUCAAUAUAUACAAAAACUCUAUUUCAGUUUCUUCAUUGUCAAUGUUGAUAUACAAAAACUCUGUCAUUGUCAAUGUUAAAGUUGUGUAGUUCUUCCAUAGUCCUGAUUUUUGUCUUAAUGUUCAGCUGCAGUCACUUGUCUUGGCACUUUGGCACUUGUCUUUCUCUUUCACUAAAGUCAUUUCAGUUCAUUGCACCUUUGUGUCAGUAAAACGGUGUAAUCUGCAUAUUUUAAAUUAUUAAUUUUUCUUCUGCUAAUUUUCACUCCUCCACCUGCAUCCAGUCUGGUAGGACACAUUCUGUGUACAGAUUGAACAUAUAAGGGGAUAAAAUACAUUCUUGUCUGACACCUUUGCCAAAAGGAAACCAUUCUCUUUCUCUGACACCUUUGCCAAAAGGAAGCCAUUCUGUCUCUCCAUAUUCUGUCCUUACAGUAGCUUCUUGUCCACAAUACAGAUUACUCAUAAGGACAAUCAAGUGCUGGGUCACACCCAUUUCUUUCAGAACAACCCAUAACUUCUCAUGACCUACAUAGUCAUCAUCUGAGCACCUAAGCUUGUUGAAAAUCAUUUUGAGUCUGGAGACAGAACAGCAUCAUAUAUUCAAUGUCAGCAAUAUGUAUCCAGAUCAUCUUUAAUACUGAGUGGGAUAAACACAGCAAAGCACAGCAGAAAAUAAAGAAUUAUUAAAGAUAUGGAUGUGGCAAUGCCAUUGGAAGAUGUCAUGUUUUUAGACAAGAAACAGCAGAAACAGAACAUCUUGAAAAGUCAUGAAAACCUUGAGCAAGACCAUCCUGCAUUUUCAACCCGAAUUGAGAUGGCAGCAUCUUUGGCAUGAAGAAUUUAAUGAGAAAACAAGCUCAAUGGGACCUGCUGAGAGGAGAGCGUCUUGUGUUCUUGGCUGUGGUAGAAUGUGAUUGAUCCAAGAGACUGGCUCUUAUAUAAAUACAUAAAUGUAACUCUCAAGGUACUUUCUUAUUUUACUCUGUUGUUAAAGGACCAUUUUUCUUCCUUUGAAAGCUUUGGCUGUUAUUAAGAGUGCUGGCUAGAAAUAUUUCUUUCCAAUAGCCACCUCGUUCUUCUCAUGCUGCUUUUGUUUUCUACACACUGUAAUUUGGAAAUGUCCGAGAGCCUGUGCCACAAAAUUGGAAGCAGGGUGUGGGAGAACAGGCAGAAAAAAAAUAAAAACAAAUAAAAACAUGUAUCUUCUACA